RNAcentral lists this ribosomal RNA (582 nucleotides) under uncultured bacterium. Its description in RNAcentral is "bacterial SSU rRNA". It matches the Rfam family "Bacterial small subunit ribosomal RNA", at positions 102 to 680 of the family's 1533-position model. The record is from RNAcentral.
ACGGGUGAGUAAUGUCUGGGAAACUGCCCGAUGGAGGGGGAUAACUACUGGAAACGGUAGCUAAUACCGCAUAACGUCGCAAGACCAAAGUGGGGGACCUUCGGGCCUCACACCAUCGGAUGUGCCCAGAUGGGAUUAGCUAGUAGGUGGGGUAAUGGCUCACCUAGGCGACGAUCCCUAGCUGGUCUGAGAGGAUGACCAGCCACACUGGAACUGAGACACGGUCCAGACUCCUACGGGAGGCAGCAGUGGGGAAUAUUGCACAAUGGGCGCAAGCCUGAUGCAGCCAUGCCGCGUGUAUGAAGAAGGCCUUCGGGUUGUAAAGUACUUUCAGCGGGGAGGAAGGCGGUGAAGUUAAUAGCUUCACCGAUUGACGUUACCCGCAGAAGAAGCACCGGCUAACUCCGUGCCAGCAGCCGCGGUAAUACGGAGGGUGCAAGCGUUAAUCGGAAUUACUGGGCGUAAAGCGCACGCAGGCGGUCUGUCAAGUCGGAUGUGAAAUCCCCGGGCUUAACCUGGGAACUGCAUUCGAAACUGGCAGGCUGGAGUCUUGUAGAGGGGGGUAGAAUUCCAGGUGUAGCG